GGUGAAAAUGAAAGGGCUUUUGUGGAAAUGAACAGAAGGAACAUAAAGACAGGGAGGGUCAGGAAAUAUUAAAAUUACAUAUUUUAAUGUUUCGAUUAGGUGAAAAUGAAAGGGCUUUUGUGGAAAUGAACAGAAGGAACAUAAAGACAGGGAGGGUCAGGAAAUAUUAAAAUUACAUAUUUUAAUGUUUCGAUUAGGUGAAAAUUAGUGAACCCUCAAGGGGAUAUGAUAGCAAUUUUUUCCACAAAUAAAUCUACUUGUUGCGGCAUGUGCAAUUUUGUCCUUUUAACUAUUUAAAGGUAUAGACAGUAAGAGC
This 316-nucleotide unclassified non-coding RNA is filed under the name Hevea brasiliensis (rubber tree). Lineage: Eukaryota; Viridiplantae; Streptophyta; Magnoliopsida; Malpighiales; Euphorbiaceae. The record is from RNAcentral.